AGGAGAAAAUAUUAGGACAGAAUGUCAUGUCCAUAAUAGUACUAUAGAAAUUAAAAGCACAUGAAAUUUCGAAAGCAUCGUUUGAUUCAUAUACAAGACAAACAUGGGAAUUUAGAGUCAUAGGGAGAAGGAAACAUGAGGAAGGAUUUCAUGUUUAUUUUCUUAUAAAAUCUCUAAACAAUUGCUUAGUUCAUAAGAAUUUCAAACG
RNAcentral lists this long non-coding RNA (208 nucleotides) under Oryza brachyantha (malo sina). RNAcentral's name for it is "long non-coding RNA (OBRA_LNC002266)". The record is from RNAcentral. Lineage: Eukaryota; Viridiplantae; Streptophyta; Magnoliopsida; Poales; Poaceae.